UGGGGAAUAUUGGACAAUGGGCGAAAGCCUGAUCCAGCAAUGCCGCGUGUGUGAAGAAGGCCUUCGGGUUGUAAAGCACUUUUGUCCGGAAAGAAAUCCUCUGGGUUAAUACCUCGGGGGAUGACGGUACCGGAAGAAUAAGCACCGGCUAACUACGUGCCAGCAGCCGCGGUAAUACGUAGGGUGCAAGCGUUAAUCGGAAUUACUGGGCGUAAAGCGUGCGCAGGCGGUUUUGUAAGACGGAUGUGAAAUCCCCGGGCUUAACCUGGGAACUGCAUUCGUGACUGCAAGGCUAGAGUAUGGCAGAGGGGGGUAGAAUUCCACGUGUAGCAGUGAAAUGCGUAGAGAUGUGGAGGAAUACCGAUGGCGAAGGCAGCCCCCUGGGCCAAUACUGACGCUCAUGCACGAAAGCGUGGGGGGCAAACAGGAUUAGAUACCCUGGUAGUCCACGCCCUAAACGAUGUCAACUAGUUGUUGGGGAUUCAUUUCCUUAGUAACGUAGCUAACGCGUGAAGUUGACCGCCUGGGGAGUACGGUCGCAAGAUUAAAACUCAAAUGAAUUGACGGGGUCAUAGCUGUUUCCU
RNAcentral lists this ribosomal RNA (584 nucleotides) under uncultured bacterium. RNAcentral describes it as "partial 16S ribosomal RNA". It matches the Rfam family "Bacterial small subunit ribosomal RNA", at positions 355 to 1375 of the family's 1533-position model. The record is from RNAcentral.